UUUUUACAUGUCAUACAAAUUAGCCUCAACCAACUAACAUAUUCAUGCUAAUAAUAUAUAUAAUAUUUAUUCUUCUCCCAUGUAGUAACAUAAUCUUAUCACAUCUUUUCAAACACAUCAUCAUCAUCACUAUUAUUUCUAAAUAAACUAUAACACCUUGAAAGCGAUAAACUUCCAACCCAUUUCCCACCUUCUUAAUUUUCCUAACAAAAACCACUCUCUAGCAACCAUUUUUCACUCCUCUCUCAAAUACUUCAAACCUCACUCUCUCCAAAUUCCACUAAACAAAACCUUAACAACAACCUUAACCUCAAAACCAUGUCGGUAAAAGAGUGCAAUCACCACAAAGGAAACAAACACAAACGCUUCAGAAAAAUCUUCUAGGAAUCAUAAUCUUCCUCUUCAUCGUCCUAGUAACAAUCCUAAUCAUUUGGGAUGUCUUAAAACCUUCUAAACCGUCUUUCAUUCUCCAAGAUGUCACUGUUUACGCUUUCAACGCCACAGUUCAAAAUUUCUUAACCUCAAAUUUCCAAGUCACAGUUUCUUCACGUAAUCCCUGUUAGAACAGUCACUUUGUUCAUGCGCAGCAAAAGUGCUUAUUAUGAUAAGCUGUUUCUAAGCAAGAUGAUUAUAACAGAAAGUUGUUAUGAGAAGAGAG
RNAcentral lists this long non-coding RNA (658 nucleotides) under Medicago truncatula (barrel medic). RNAcentral's name for it is "lncRNA gene43525". The record is from RNAcentral. Lineage: Eukaryota; Viridiplantae; Streptophyta; Magnoliopsida; Fabales; Fabaceae.